Molecule: long non-coding RNA, 887 nt
Organism: Monodelphis domestica (gray short-tailed opossum)
Lineage: Eukaryota; Metazoa; Chordata; Mammalia; Didelphimorphia; Didelphidae
Source: RefSeq, a predicted model, not a curated record
GGAAGGGUUAAGCUGGAACUCAGGGGAUGUUCAAGCUCUCUCUCACUGGAUGUAGACCUGGGGAGAGUAACUGCCAAGUCCUGAGGUUUCUGAUGUUGUCCAUGCUGCUGUCCUUCUUGCUGCGUUUCCUUGGAAGAAGAUCCUUUGAACCUAACGCUAACCUGAACCAGCAUCCAGCUAUCUGCAUUAUCAAAAAAAAAGAAAAGAAGGGCUGCAGUAAUCCUAUGGAAGAACAUGGAUAAGAGUCCAUAUAGUUAGGCAAGAAUAGGUAGUGAUAUGCAUCUUUGGAGAGAACAUCUAAUUUGAGGUAAUAGUAAAACAUGGGUUUUCCAUCUGCUUUCCGUUGCUUUUACUAUAUAAUCAACAUAUUUUUUCUGCUUCCCGUCCCUGAGAAUUUGCACAAAACAAUCUGUCACUGUUUUCAAGAUUAUGUCACAUCCAGCCUGGUUUUACUCAGUGAGUCCAUGGUCUGGUCCAGCAACUCUUCGGGAUUUCAUCUUCUUAAGUACCCUUCAAUUUCAUCAUGUAGUACUUUGGGGAUUGAGGUGUUACAGUUCAAAUGUGGUGAUUCCUCUGUCACUGAUGAUGAAAAUAGAUUGUUACAGAAAUCUUGACAAAUGUGUUCCAUUCUGUGUCUGUUGUCCUCUUUCCAGUUUCAUCUCUACAUGGUAUUGGAAUGAUGUAACUCAACAGGGUUUCAUGCCAAAGUUUCUUUAGAUUUGUUUUUGCUCUCUUGCUUUUUGUUGGUUUAUGAGGCAUUACUUCUUAUAAUCUUUUGCCAUAGUUCUCCAUUGUAUUUCACAAAUAAGUUUAUAUUCUAUACUAAUGUUGCCCUUGGCUGCAAGUCUCUCUGUUUGGCAAAGAGAUUAAAUGUUUUCUGGCUAUAA